AUCGUAUUUCAGGGACUCUAGAUUUCAAAAAUUUUCCGGGGGGGCAUGCCCCCGGACCCCCCUAGAAGUGUCUCGCGCCUUCACCGCUCGAAAAUCCACCCCACUUUUAAAAGGCUGGCGCCGCCACUGAUCCGAAUAUCCAGUGGGCAGGAAAGAACUCGUGCAAUGGAUCAAAGAGGUAAAGAAAAAGUCCGUGUUUGAACACAAAUUGAUGGUAUAUACGUGCCAACACUGUCCAGAAUUUUCGACAUAUCUUUUUCGUUCUUUUCAUUAGUAGCUAGGUUUACCUUUAAACGGAUGACAUUACUGAAGGUGUAGAGGAACAUCAAUUGCCCUAGUGCAUAUCAUCGCGUAGAAAUAGUGGUAUUUGUACUUCAUCUUCACUACGCUAGUCAUUAUUAAUCCAUCUCAAGUUUCAUUACUAACCCAUCUCAGUCCUUGGACUGGAUCAAAAUUAAUUCACCUCGCUUUAAGUAGUGAUUCAUUCGUAUGAGAAGUCAUUUCGAUCAAAUCCUACAAAUCGAACUGGUCUAAAUUUCAAGUCCUCACAUGUUGAUCAAAUUGCGCGGACCUGAAAUCGUGUCCAGUCUUCAUAGUUGGAUUUGAAAUGUUACAUAUAAUUGAGGAUACUAGUAUGUGGUAAGCAAGUCAAAUGCAACAAUAUGUAGAAUUUCGCCUGCCAUUUUAAGUUUCACUUGGCAGUUCAAAUUAUUUUCACCUCAGCCAUUUCUAGCCAUAUGGCCUGCUUUUGGCCGUUGGCAAGCUGCUAUUUCUAGACGAUAAUUACGAUAUGAUUUUUAAGUAUAUAGCCUAGCUUAAUACCGUCAUCAGUUAGAGCUAAUAUAUACUCUGAAAUUAUUCUAGUGAUAGAAAAGGUAAAAUAAAACCAUUUUUGCGACAUAAACUGUAACACAUAUAUUUUUGUUCCGUUUUAGGGUAAAAUAAAGAUAAAGGAACACAUCACAAAUGGCUUUGAAAAUCUUCCAAAGGCAUUGAUUGAAUUGUUUACCGAAAGCAACUUUGGAAAAGCCGUUGUAAUAGUUUCAAGUUCAUAGAUCUCGUUACCUUGAUAAUUAUUAUGCAUUGUUAUACUGAUAAUUACUGAUAAUCCAAUGAUAAUCUUAAAGUGAUCCCGACCGAUAAUAUUGAUGAUACUGAUAAAUGAUUUAUAGUUUUUUACAAUAUGUGAUUUAACAGACAAACAAUGAACAGAUACAAUAAUAG
Non-coding RNA from Paramuricea clavata, 1224 nucleotides. NCBI's taxonomy places the organism in Eukaryota, Metazoa, Cnidaria, Anthozoa, Malacalcyonacea, Plexauridae. The record is from the annotation of a GenBank genome assembly.